RNAcentral lists this ribosomal RNA (300 nucleotides) under uncultured Geoglobus sp. Its description in RNAcentral is "bacterial SSU rRNA". The stretch from base 52 to 300 matches the Rfam family "Bacterial small subunit ribosomal RNA", at positions 547 to 795 of the family's 1533-position model. The record is from RNAcentral. Lineage: Archaea; Methanobacteriati; Methanobacteriota; Archaeoglobi; Archaeoglobales; Archaeoglobaceae.
GUAAGGUGUGGGCAGGUAGGGUCGGUAAUAGGAAGGGGGCAACGUUGUGAGGGACGUAUGGUGCGGAAAGCGUACGUAGGUGGCUGUGCAAGUCGGAUGGGAAAUCCGUCGGCUUAACCAAGGAAGUGCAUCCGAAACGGCAGAGCUUGAGUACGAAAGAGGAUCGCGGAAUUCCCGGUGUAGAGGUGAAAUUCGUAGAUAUCGGGAGGAACACCAGUGGCGAAGGCGGCGAUCUGGGUCGAUACUGACGCUGAGGUGCGAAAGCGUGGGGAGCAAACAGGAUUAGAUACCCCAGUAGUC